Molecule: ribosomal RNA, 254 nt
Filed under: uncultured bacterium
Lineage: Bacteria
Description: partial 16S ribosomal RNA
Rfam family: Bacterial small subunit ribosomal RNA
Source: RNAcentral
UACGUAGGGUGCGAGCGUUAAUCGGAAUUACUGGGCGUAAAGCGUGCGCAGGCGGUUCGUUAAGUCAGCUGUGAAAGCCCCGGGCUCAACCUGGGAACGGCGGUUGAAACUGGCGAACUAGAAUCUGGCAGAGGGGGGGUGGAAUUCCACGUGUAGCAGUGAAAUGCGUAGAGAUGUGGAGGAACACCGAUGGCGAAGGCAGCCCCCUGGGCUGAGAUUGACGCUCAGGCACGAAAGCGUGGGGAGCAAACAGG